RNAcentral lists this long non-coding RNA (464 nucleotides) under Neogobius melanostomus (round goby). RNAcentral describes it as "lncRNA (ENSNMLG00000023413.1)". Lineage: Eukaryota; Metazoa; Chordata; Actinopteri; Gobiiformes; Gobiidae. The record is from RNAcentral.
CAACAGUCGGAGGCACGCGGGGAGCGCAGAGUCAAUACAGAGCUAACCUCCACACACCGUUAAAGAUCAAGAGCUGCAGUCCAACACGGCCCCAGCAACUUACAAACUCAACUGCCUUUCAUUUGCUGUUAAAGAUGCAAUCAAGGAAAAGAACCACUCGUUGACUCAGCACAGCAGCUAACAUGGCCGACACCAACGCUGCGGCAUCGGGCCCAAGUCUCAUGACCGUGAGACUGUAUCGCCCAACCACCAAUUACCAAGAGUGCAUCUUACCCCACCUGAACUGAACCAGGAUCAAAAAGAGCAGUGGAGGAAGACGUGCAGUGGACAUGGGGAGGCGGGACAUUGUUGCAAAACCUCCUUUUCUGACAAUUGGACUUUUCGUUUGGGGUCGUGAAGUCCGAAACACAGCUAUCCACUCGAGCUGGAAGGCCACUGUGGCACAACUCUUUUAUCCAUUCUGU